AUUGAACGCUGGCGGCAGGCCUAACACAUGCAAGUCGAGCGGAUGACGGGAGCUUGCUCCUUGAUUCAGCGGCGGACGGGUGAGUAAUGCCUAGGAAUCUGCCUGGUAGUGGGGGACAACGUUUCGAAAGGAACGCUAAUACCGCAUACGUCCUACGGGAGAAAGCAGGGGACCUUCGGGCCUUGCGCUAUCCGAUGAGCCUAGGUCGGAUUAGCUAGUAGGUGAGGUAAUGGCUCACCUAGGCGACGAUCCGUAACUAGUCUGAGAGGAUGAUCAGUCACACUGGAACUGAGACACGGUCCAGACUCCUACGGGAGGCAGCAGUGGGGAAUAUUGGACAAUGGGCGAAAGCCUGAUCCAGCCAUGCCGCGUGUGUGAAGAAGGUCUUCGGAUUGUAAAGCACUUUAAGUUGGGAGGAAGGGUAGUAAGUUAAUACCUUGCUGUUUUGACGUUACCGACAGAAUAAGCACCGGCUAACUCUGUGCCAGCCGCCGCCGUAA
This 500-nucleotide ribosomal RNA is filed under the name uncultured bacterium. RNAcentral's name for it is "partial 16S ribosomal RNA". It matches the Rfam family "Bacterial small subunit ribosomal RNA", at positions 30 to 523 of the family's 1533-position model. The record is from RNAcentral.